This 253-nucleotide ribosomal RNA is filed under the name uncultured bacterium. RNAcentral's name for it is "partial 16S ribosomal RNA". It matches the Rfam family "Bacterial small subunit ribosomal RNA", at positions 524 to 776 of the family's 1533-position model. The record is from RNAcentral.
UACGGAGGGUGCAAGCGUUAUCCGGAUUCACUGGGUUUAAAGGGUGCGUAGGUGGGUUGGUAAGUCAGUGGUGAAAGCCCCGAGCUUAACUUGGGAAUGGCGCUUGUGACUGGUAGGCUGGAGUGUGGCAGAGGGAGGUGGAAUUCCACGUGUAGCAGUGAAAUGCGUAGAGAUGUGGAGGAACACCGAUGGCGAAGGCAGCCUCCUGGGCCAGCACUGACGCUCAUGCACGAAAGCGUGGGGAGCAAACAGG